GCGGGAAUGGCGGAAUUGGCAGACGCGCACGGUUCAGGUCCGUGUGAAAGCAAUUUCAUGCAGGUUCAAGUCCUGUUUCCCGCACCA
This 87-nucleotide transfer RNA is filed under the name Clostridia bacterium. RNAcentral's name for it is "tRNA-Leu". It matches the Rfam family "tRNA". Rfam says of the family: Transfer RNA (tRNA) molecules are approximately 80 nucleotides in length. Their secondary structure includes four short double-helical elements and three loops (D, anti-codon, and T loops). RNAcentral also lists the same sequence under 3 other names. Lineage: Bacteria; Bacillati; Bacillota; Clostridia. The record is from RNAcentral.